UGCAUCUGAGGGUCCUGACUGUUAGAA
RNAcentral lists this non-coding RNA (27 nucleotides) under Homo sapiens (human). The record is from RNAcentral. Lineage: Eukaryota; Metazoa; Chordata; Mammalia; Primates; Hominidae.